AUACUUACCUGGCGGGGGAGAUACCAUGAUCACGAAAGUGGUUUUCCCAGGGCGAGGAUUAUCCAUUGCACUCCGGAUGUGCUGACCCCUGCUAUUUCCCUAAAUGUGCGAAACUCGACUGCAUAAUUUAUGGAUUGUGGGGGAGUGUGUUUGCAUUUUCCCUGA
This is a small nuclear RNA of Callorhinus ursinus (northern fur seal), 165 nucleotides long. RefSeq annotates it as U1 spliceosomal RNA. NCBI's taxonomy places the organism in Eukaryota, Metazoa, Chordata, Mammalia, Carnivora, Otariidae. The record is from RefSeq and is a predicted model, not a curated record.